RNAcentral lists this long non-coding RNA (1343 nucleotides) under Cricetulus griseus (Chinese hamster). Its description in RNAcentral is "lncRNA (ENSCGRG00015040549.1)". The record is from RNAcentral. Lineage: Eukaryota; Metazoa; Chordata; Mammalia; Rodentia; Cricetidae.
CUCCCCGCGAGUCUUCCCCUGGUGAAUGCAAGCGAGCCAGCUGCUGCCUGAACUCCGGUGCGCCGGGUUUUCAGAGCUGCCACAAGCGCGAGGAGGGAGGGGGGCACACAGCAGCCACAGAGCACUGGGUUCAUAACUAGGAUUGGUCGCAAGUAGGGAGCUUUUGCCACUCCGCUGGGACCCUGGGACGCUGGCGGCAUCGUGCGCUGGGUUCUCCUAAGAGCUGCUUUGGGUGCCUCGGAUUCAUUUGGCAUUGUAGAAUUUUCUAACUGAGGAAAUUCCGCUAGAGCUCACUUGGGAAUUUCUGCAGUUUGGUGUCAGAGAAUCAAAUUCUUCAGACUGAGCUAAAGGAAACACUCCAUGUGGGUUCUGAUUGAAAACAAAGGGGAUUAUUGACACAUAGUAUCUCCACAGCAUGUGGCUCUCAGAGCUGCCCUAAAAGUAAAUUGAUUGACAGAACCUGACUAAAUCAAGAGACCAAAGAUAAACAGGAGAGUUUGUUUAUAUGGUGGAUUUUCAUAUAUUGAACCAACCCUGUAUCUCUGGGAUGAAGACUACUUGAUCAUGGUGGAUGAUUUUUUUUAUAUAAUCUUGGAUUCAGUUUGCCAGUAUUUUACUGAGCAUUUUUCAUCAAUGUUCAUGAGGAAAAUUGGUGACAACAGAAAUUAGAUCUGCACAUUCAUUUCUUCAGAAAAGUUAGACUGAAGAAGAAAAAAAAAAAAGAUGCAAGCUGCUUCCUGCUGUGAGACAGCUUUAGUCUCCUGAAUUUUUGGUGCAGUUGUUAUAAAACAGAGGAAAAUCGAUCAUGUGUUCUUUGGAGAGAAACAACUCAAACUCAUCAUGUCCUUCAAAAGCAUCAUAAAAUUCUGUGAAUCAGCAGCUCAUUUUACGCAUAAUAGUAUUCAUUGUAUUUACUGUCAACACUGGUUUAAUUUUUACCUUGUUGUUGUUUAUCAGCUCAAUUCAUGUUUCCUGUGUUGUUGCAACUUCUUGGCCUUUCUGGGGGUGGGGGUGAUACUCGGGAGUUUCAUAUAUUUUCAGAACCAUUCUUACGAGCUUGGGGAGAUUCUUCAGUGGAUAAAGCCUUUGCGUAUGUAUGAGAACCUGUCUUCUGACUACAUGGAACCCACAUCAAUGCCAGGGAGGUGGGUGGCCCACCUAUAAUUUCCACCUCAGAAGAAAGAGGCAGGAAUUUCCCAGAGCAAGCUGUCUAACAAGACUAUAUUUGACUGAAAGACAGUAAGUUCAUCACCAAAUAAAGGGAAAGAUGUAUAGAAGAAGAGUUUCAAUGUCAACCCUGUGUCUCCACAUGCAUGUGUGUGUGCCUAUAGACAACUAUGUCC